Molecule: unclassified non-coding RNA, 102 nt
Organism: Gorilla gorilla gorilla (western lowland gorilla)
Lineage: Eukaryota; Metazoa; Chordata; Mammalia; Primates; Hominidae
Rfam family: Y RNA
About the family: Y RNAs are components of the Ro ribonucleoprotein particle (Ro RNP), in association with Ro60 and La proteins. The Y RNAs and Ro60 and La proteins are well conserved, but the function of the Ro RNP is not known.
Source: Ensembl
GGCUGGUGUUAGUGCUGUGGUAUUUACAACUAAUUGAUCACAACCAGUUACAGAUUUUUUUGUUCUUUCUCCACUCCCAGGGCUUCACUUGACUAUCCUUAA